This 253-nucleotide ribosomal RNA is filed under the name uncultured bacterium. Its description in RNAcentral is "partial 16S ribosomal RNA". It matches the Rfam family "Bacterial small subunit ribosomal RNA", at positions 524 to 776 of the family's 1533-position model. The record is from RNAcentral.
UACAGAGGUGGCAAGCGUUGUUCGGAAUUACUGGGCGUAAAGGGCGCGUAGGCGGUCUUAUAAGUCUCGUGUGAAAUCCCUCGGCUUAACUGAGGAACUGCACGGGAUACUGCAAGACUUGAGAUCGGGAGAGGGAAGCGGAAUUCCGGGUGUAGCGGUGAAAUGCGUAGAUAUCUGGAGGAACACCGGUGGCGAAGGCGGCAUCCUGGACCGAUACUGACGCUGAGGAGCGAAAGCCAGGGGAGCAAACGGG